UUAGUCUUUCCUCCAUCCGCGCCGCCGCGUCCUCGUCUCCUCCUCCAUCCGCGCGCCUCGGCGGCGACCCCAUGGAGGGCGGCCGGGUCGGAGCGGUCCCCGCGUCCCUCCUUCCCCGCUCGGCGCUCUCUACUCCACUCUUCCCAUCUCGCUAGAGCCGCCGCAUCCGGAGGCGACCGGCGUUGCUCCAUCUCGACCUGCCCGUAACCUUCUCUCCCCGCAGCGGGCGGAGAAGAUGGAGAGGAGCUCGUCCGCCCACCUUCCACCAUGGUUUGCAGCGGCCGGAGAAGAUGGAGAGGCCGAACUGCGGCUGCCUCGUGUGCGCUCUCCUGCAUCUCGCGCGGGAGCGAGUGGUGGUGACUAGCAUAGAAGGCGGAGGAGGUCAUUGGGGCCGGCUUCCCUUCCGUUUUGGCUGCCAAGCUCCACGCGUUGCUGAGUCCCUCUCUCUAUCCCUCUACAUCUCUCCCUCUCUCUGUCAGAGGGCAGCUGCCGCCCCGAGGUGCAGGCGGCCAUGGAAAAGCACAAGAUGCCACACCUGGCUUUCCCCCUUGCCUCCUGCCCUUUCUCUUCAGCUCAUCUAUUUACAUGUGCAAAUACUUUUUUAUCUAUGCCUGCAAGGUGUUUGAUGAAAGUUCAGUAAGGCUGUGAGGGAAUACCAAACGAGAGAGGAUCCAGUAUCUGUUACAUGCAUCAGAUAUAGAUUGCAGUCAAGACACCUGCUCCCUCGUCAUCGACGGAAGGAGGAGAGCAGCAGCCACAACAGGCGACAGUGCUGGCGAAUGCGUCAGACAUGAGUCGCUUCGGCUUCUUCCAGCGGCCCAGCCAUGACGCCCUCAAGCCGCCGAUAGCAGCGGCCCUCUCCCAAGCUACACUGCUCCUGAUCUUCGUCGCCCCACACCGUCGUACUAUGCACAGCUCAGCCUGGCCAUGAUGCUCUUAGCCCGCGGACGCUCACAGCGUAACCGACGGUGGCGACUCACUCCCAACCCGUGUUGCUCUCCAUCAGUGCUGACGGAUUAGUUUGUUUUACAGUGUGGGCACCAGGUCUCUGAGUAGUUUAAAUCUGAACGCAACACCAAGGCUGCCAGCCUGAGCAUUGCCGAACAGUACAGCAAAGCAUUUUCUGAACUUGCUAAAAGCAAACAUGGAAGCUCUCCCUAAUUCAUUGAUUAAAGGGAGGCAGGGGAGUUCCAGUUUGUGAGGACAGUGGCGACAUGGUUGACUGAAUGGCAAUAGGAAGAAGGCACAUCUCAUAUAAUUGUUUUAUUCAAGACAAGUCUACACUCUCUUAUGUCAAAUUUGCACAGAUUUCCCUUCCCUAGGCUAUUUCUAAGGGGGAGAGAAGAGUGUUAUUUUUUGGGGGGGAUUACAAAGAAUGGUAGCGCAUGAGGAGUAUUAGCCACGGAGGAGGGAGGAGACUGACAUGAGGAAAACAUAUUCUGGAUCGAUUUGGUUCUCAUGGUUUGGUACUAAUUUCUCAAAAAAAUCAUGCUUUUGCAGCACCGUCCUGUUGAGCCAUGAGAUCUGAACCAAGGAAUCCAGAUAACAUCGACUAUGUUUAUAGAUCACUACAUGUUCUGUUGGAACAUUGUUUGCUACUAAAUUCUCAAAAAAGAAACGUUCUUAUGCAUCACCGUCAUGUGGAACCACGAUACCUGAACCAAUGAACUCAGUGAACAUUUAUUAUAUUUAUUAUGGAUCAUUACAUGUUCUGCUGGAACAAGUUGUUGCAGCGGCACAAACUCGGUUGCGUCCGCUAUGACCCCAAUCUUCGGAUUAUUAUAAGUAGAGGUUGAUCGUGUAGGAGGUGAAGAUGCUCACGCCUAAAGCCAAACUUGACGCCGUCGACGCCACCAUCCGGGAGCUCAUUUAUAUUGGCUUCGAAUGGCUACCGUUGUAUUUUCUGUACUUUUGGUUGUGGUCGUAAUUGUUACCCUGUGCCUUUGCAAGAAUAACUGAAAAUGGUGAUUUCUAUUGACUGUAAACCGAGUACUUGUCUAAUUAUUGUUCAAGAAAAUAUAGUGAGUCGUGUUCUUGGUUGCUAAUAGUAUAGUACACCUAUGCGGAUCCUUCUGUCGGACCGUUGAAUGGAAAUAACUCAAAAGAAGAUAAUAGAGAUGUUGUCUCUAUGCAAUCGGUAACUGUCAGUUCAGUUACAAAGAACGACCAUCACAAAUAACUUUGAGAUGUCCAUUGGUAAAGGUCAGUUUGGAGUAGUCUAUUUUGGCUACUUGGAAGAUGGAACCCCAGUUGCAGUCAAAACACGCUUAGAAUCAUCAUCUCAUGGGGUUAAUGAGUUCUUGGCAGAGGCUCUACAUCUAAUAAGAGUUCAUCACAGGAACUUGGUCAAUCUGGUUAGCCACUACAAGGAUGGACACCACUCAACUCUUGUCUACGAGUAUAAAUUGCUAAUUUGCAUUGCUCUUUCGUGCAACAAGUGCGUUGAUACUUACAAACAACGAGGCAUGUGACUAUUUACUAUCACUGUUGUUUGGUAUUUGAACAUGUCUUUUCGAGGGGGAGAUGGGAACAGAUAGACUCAGUGAAAGUUGGCUGCACGUAAACUAUUGUGAUCAAGUUGGAAAAAAAUGUUUCCCCUCUUAACUGCUCCUGUUGGAGACUGGGGUCAGUAGUCACUGAAAUUUGCACACGCAUGGAGGAAUGAAUGAAGAUUCUCAAGUAACGAAGUUGUAGCCUUCACGACAAGAUAAAUGGAUGAUUUUGCAGCUCAAGUGUUGCUACAUGUUACAGAUAACUAUGGCAUUCCAUUUUAAUGAAUCUGCAUAUUGCUGUUGAGCACCGGAAGCGAGGGAGGGCAUGGCUGCACUGGAGGUUGUCCCAAGGCGAGGGCAGGGCAGAGACAUGCAACAAUGAGGGUUGCAACCGUAAUCAAUAUCUCAACGUCGAAUCAUUUCCUAUAGCCUUCCAGCAAGUUCAUUCUUAUUUUCUGAUUGGGUCAUGUUAGGCCAGCAAAGUAAACCUAGAAAAACUGAUUAGGCAAUGAUGUUUUUGUUUAAUUUUAGUGUUUGGUAUUUGUUUCAGAUAUGAAUAAUUCUGGUUAUGGUUUCUGCAUUGCAUAGUGACGUUAUAAUGAGAUUAGAGAUAGUUGUCACGCA
This is a long non-coding RNA of Triticum aestivum (bread wheat), 3116 nucleotides long. RefSeq lists it as uncharacterized. Lineage: Eukaryota; Viridiplantae; Streptophyta; Magnoliopsida; Poales; Poaceae. The transcript has 11 exons. The record is from RefSeq and is a predicted model, not a curated record.